This 207-nucleotide long non-coding RNA is filed under the name Gossypium raimondii (Peruvian cotton). RNAcentral describes it as "long non-coding RNA (GRAI_LNC009632)". Lineage: Eukaryota; Viridiplantae; Streptophyta; Magnoliopsida; Malvales; Malvaceae. The record is from RNAcentral.
AAGAAUGUCAACACCAAGGAUAGGAAAUGUUAGUACCCUCGGCCCAAAGGCCAAGAUAAAACAGUAGCCCUAUUAUGAGCUGUAAUAAUAACAGUGGGGAUAUGUAUAAAUACUCAUUGUGUUUCCCUUAAUACAACACGAGAAAAUAUUUCUCAACAAAUUUAAUUCCAAAAAUGAUAAAUUUUUUUAUUUUUUUUUAAAUUUUUU